CCUACGGGAGGCAGCAGUGAGGAAUAUUGGUCAAUGGACGAGAGUCUGAACCAGCCAAGUAGCGUGAAGGAUGACUGCCCUAUGGGUUGUAAACUUCUUUUAUAUGGGAAUAAAAUGUUCCACGUGUGGGAUUUUGUAUGUACCAUAUGAAUAAGGAUCGGCUAACUCCGUGCCAGCAGCCGCGGUAAUACGGAGGAUCCGAGCGUUAUCCGGAUUUAUUGGGUUUAAAGGGAGCGUAGGUGGAUUGUUAAGUCAGUUGUGAAAGUUUGCGGCUCAACCGUAAAAUUGCAGUUGAGACUGGCAGUCUGGAGUACAGGAGAGGUAGGCGGAAUUCGUGGUGUAGCGGUGAAAUGCUUAGAUAUCACGAAGAACGCAGAUUGCGAAGGCAGUUCACUGGACUGUAACUGACACUGAUGCUCGAAAGUGUGGGUAUCAAACAGGAUUAGAUACCCGAGUAGUC
RNAcentral lists this ribosomal RNA (460 nucleotides) under uncultured bacterium. Its description in RNAcentral is "partial 16S ribosomal RNA". It matches the Rfam family "Bacterial small subunit ribosomal RNA", at positions 338 to 795 of the family's 1533-position model. The record is from RNAcentral.